This 446-nucleotide ribosomal RNA is filed under the name uncultured bacterium. Its description in RNAcentral is "partial 16S ribosomal RNA". It matches the Rfam family "Bacterial small subunit ribosomal RNA", at positions 338 to 795 of the family's 1533-position model. The record is from RNAcentral.
CCUACGGGGGGCAGCAGUCGAGAAUCAUUCACAAUGGGGGAAACCCUGAUGGUGCGACGCCGCGUGGGGGAAUGAAGGUCUUCGGAUUGUAAACCUCUGUCAUGUGGGAGCAAAUUAAAAAGAUAGUACCACAAGAGGAAGAGACGGCUAACUCUGUGCCAGCAGCCGCGGUAAUACAGAGGUCUCAAGCGUUGUUCGGAAUCACUGGGCGUAAAGGGUGCGUAGGCUGUUUCGUAAGUCGUGUGUGAAAGGCGCGGGCUCAACCGGCGGAUGGCAGAUGAUACUGGGAGACUAGAGUACUGGAGGGGGAACCGGAAUUCGCGGUGUAGCAGUGAAAUGCGUAGAUAUCGCGAAGAACACUGGUGGCGAAGGCAGGUUACUGGACAUUAACUGACGCUGAGGCACGAAGGCGAGGGGAGCGAAAGGGAUUAGAUACCCUUGUAGUC